AACUUCUGCUGAUCUUUAAAUGUAUUAGUGGAACAGAAUGCAGGUUUUAAAAAGAUAGUACAGAAGUUAUUUUCCUGCAAUUGACUGCAUAGUACACGGUGGAAUCCUGCAAACAUUGAUAUAUACGAAUAGUUCUAACUGAAAAUGCUGGAAGCCUUGGAACAAAGGCCAGUCUUCUCAUAGGCAGAAAAGUGUUUUAUGCUUGAAUUUUCUGGCACCAGUUCCUGUGGCUUUAAAGAAAAGUGCCACUGUGAGAGAAGUCUGGAAAACCUUAGAAGUGGACCGGUGCAGGAAAUAUCGAGAUGGGCUGAGCCAUGACCAGGAGCCAUCUAGGUGCAGGAUGCCUAGAGACGAAUGAUAGGGAAAAAGGUCUCUGUGACAUCGGUCCCUACUGGCACUGACUAUACAAGUGGAGAGAUACCUAGACAGAAGAAGGGAGCAUGCUAUAUUCCAUCUGUUCUCAAGCAGUCCUGGGCUGUGAGCCACCCGAGCCUGGCAUUGUGUCAUUGGACUUUCAUAACAGCAAGAUUUCUAGUUAUGUACUAGACUGCCAAGAGGAAAUAAGAAAUUAAGUAUGGAACAAGGAAAAUGGUCCAGAACGUGCAUACAUGAAGCCUGAACUGGUUCAUUAUACAAAAAAAGCGUAUGGUCAAACAAACUGCCUGCCAAGCACACCGUGAGGCCUGACACGCUGCAAGAGGCGAUGCCCCAAGUUCAAACAGAACAGGAAAGGUGGAUAUGGAGCAUGGAGGGUCAGGAGGAUGUGUAUAUGAGCACUGAGCCAGCUGGAUGCUGCGCAAAGCAGCUGCUCCUUGCCUGACCUUUGCCACUGAGUUCUUCCAGAAUGACACCAUAUUUUAAUGUAUUUUUUUUCCACCUCAGCUGUAAAUGUUGUUUACGUUAUCUUAAGAGCCGUGUGACCAGUGGGGUUCAUGCUGAAGUAAACCUGCUGAAAUCAAAGCCCCCGGCCAUCAGGUGGAGAUGGGUCCCUUGUGGACAGUGCUGGAGGAAUCUGACUCUUGAGCUGUAGGUGUCCUGGUGUGGGGCUGCGUGAUGUUCAGACAGCUGGAGCAUGAACUGAAGUGUAGCAGCCAGCAGACCAUAGUUUAACCAGUUGCAGUGGCCCCCAGUAGAGAGGCAACGUACGCUCACUUUCUCUCUUGUGAUCUUUAGUGUCACAACAGAGACAUCAGUGACAGGCUUCUCAACCUAGCUGCCCUAGAUCUCCAGGAGAGAGACAUCUUUGUGAAUCCCUCACCAUAGUAUAAAAAAUCAACAUUUUUGUACCCUGUGAAGACACAGUUGUGCCAAAAAUAUUAAAUGGACCAGAGAAGCCAGAGCAGGCACCAGACAGCCUGCAGGGGUUUUUGACCACUUCUAAAUAGAUUGUUCCAAGAUUGAGAAGAAAGUACAAUAAACUGCUAAUCCAUGCUAUGAAUUUGCGGAAGCCUAAAAUACUUCCUGUGAAAACCAGGGCUUUCAUUGAAGAUGUUGCUGUGCACUCAGGAAUCACUUUUGUUAACUGAAGCGCUCAUAACUCAGCCACCUGUUAGCUGCAAUCACUGCUUAACUUAACCUAAGACCUGCAAUUUACAGAGCAAAGGAAAGGACAAUAUGAAUGAAUGAGAGCAGAGAUUAAAUGAACAUAACUGUUGUCACUGAAUGGAGCUGCUAGAAAAUGCAUGACUGCCAGAAAACUUCCUGCUUCCAGAAGGGAAAGGACAGGCAUUUCGACAGUCAGUUUCUGGCCGUUGGUCUCAGCUUUGGGGAUGUUCAUCUGCAUGGCCCAGUGGAGAGUUCACUUCCUACACACAAGAACAUUUUUUGCCUAAGCUGUUACCUCGUAUUCCCAAGAAUUUAGAUGUCACCAGGAUGCGGCAGGUUUCCUGGUGCUUUCCUGUGACAAAUGAUGAUUUUUGGGACUCCUUCUGGGAUAAUGAUCAGGGCCCUUUGAACUGUAACGGGUGGACUGUGAUCCAGAUCAUGUCUUCUGAUCUGUGUUUGCCAGAUGUGACCUUAGAUUUGGGAAGAGCCCAUUAAUUUCUGGAACAAUUACAAACUAUAAAUGGACUGUCUCUACAGGGCUUUGCAUGUAUCACCAUAAUGAAAGAAAUAGAUUGAAGGAAAAAAUGUUAGCAUUGAGAUCUGCUGUAGCUGGAAUUUAUCAGUAUUACCUUUUUCUUGAAGUCUAGUAAUUAAACUUAUCAUUACAUAUUGCCUCCCAUCAAUUAAUUAGCUAAGUAAUUUUGUCAGUCAGCAAGCCUUAAAUUGCAUCACUGAGUUUUUAUGAAACACUUUUAUCACUGAUUGCAUAUUUGGGAAAAGACGUCUGGUUUAAUGAUUCCUGAGGCACAUAUUCUGAAUGACAAAUAAAUAAAUGAGCUCAACUUCUUUCAACACACAGAACUGAAAUACCAUUAAAGAAUCAAAGCCCUGGCUAUCCUUUUCCUUUUAGGAUCUGUUUUUGUGUUCCUUUAAGGUGAGAUGUUCUCAAAUACUUCUGCUAAUAAGAGCUUUUCUGCUGAGGCUGAAGCUUUUUAUUAGUUACAGUAGUAACUGAUAUUGAGAAACAUGAACAGAAAUAACUUGAAAACUUUUAAAACUACUUCAACAUUGGUUCUAAAUUUAAUUUUAAAAUAUUAUUUUUUCCUGGAUAUUUAUUUUACAUAUACAGAAUACAUAUCAAUGAGAAACCAAUCAUAUGUAGGGAGAAUCUCUGUGUAGGAAAAACAUUGUUUACUGCAUGGAUGUACAACUAAUGAAGAAUUAAAUCAGAUUUGUGAUUUUUGCUACAAAUAUACUUGAGAUUUGGAUUAGGUUUUAGAAACUCUGUGUUUCAUCAAAAACUAUAAACAAGUGUUUUAUUUAGGAAUGAACAGUGAUAGAAUUUCAUUCUUAUUUUUUCUUUUCCCCAAAGAUACCCUCUUUUAUUACUGCUUCAUCAGUCAAUGAAUGGGAAGUUGCCAGAAUAAAUAGUGCAGUAUUAUGCUUUUAUAUGAAAAUAGCCAGAAAAUUAAAAAAAGAAAUCAGAACAAAUUUCUGAAAGAAAAAUCCAUCAAUGACUGUGAAGUGUCAAGUGACUGAAAGCAUCAUUUUCAGCUCGUGCCACAUCUACUUUUUGCUGGGAAAUUGCUCAUGGCAAUUGCUGGAGAGAAGAUGCUUUACUGAACUGAUGGGUUUUGAUCUUAGUUGGUGGAGGUGCUUCUUAUAGCUAUGGUAAUGACAAUUGGUUCGUAAGAUUUCAGGGAGGCCAGACCUGGUUCAACACUGUUAAUCUAAUCAAGACAUUAGACAUCUUUUUUAAGGACAGUGCUGUGCUUCUUCCAUACCUCUUUUCUCCUACUGUCUUUCCACUGCCAUUUGCAUUAUCACUCAUUGCUGAGUAGAAGUAGGAAAGUGAAAGUAUAUUCCCUUCAUCGGUGAUGACAGUCAGUACAUUUACUUUUCUAAAGUGUGUUAACUAGAUGUUUAGGUCUGCAGAAUCUAUAUAUAGGGAUCACAAAAUAGUAUAAAACUGGGGAAAGCACUCCUGAGCAGAAUCUUUGGAUGAGAUUUCAGUUCUCUGAUUUAGAAAAAGGAAAAAAGCAGAAAUGAGUUCUUCAAUAUGCUGGCUAGAAAGCAGUUGCAGUAACAGUAGGGGCAGCUCACCAGUCUACAGGCAGCCAUAGAGUAGGAAGCCUUCUUUUCAUUAUUUAUGCUGUCUCCAUUCUCAGCUUUUUACUCCCUCUAGUUAAUGAGAGAUAUAUCUCAAAUACACAAGGGAAAUAAAUACAAGGACAGUGAUAGAAAUAACAGACAGUUCUUGAUAGCAGUGGAGCACUGAAGAUACAGCAGUGUGUUUGAUUUAUUGUGGUUUCUUGUAUUAAAUGCAUGAAGAUAAUGCUCUUCGAUUUUUAAAUGAAGAAAUAUUGGAAAAAAAAAACCCUUGUUAUUGUUGAAUGGAAAAUAACAAGCAGCAAGACAUUUUACCAUAUGCGGUAUUAUCCCCACAUUUUAACAUCCUAGGUGUUGGAGUAAUGAACGUGAUUACAUCAUUCUUCAUUUUUCGUACUACUCUGGCUUUUAUAAACAUUUUGAUUUUGUGAAGAAACAGUUUCCUCUUUUUUCAGUGAUAAGGGUGCUUCCUUUUUUUUUUUUUUUGAAAGACUGAAAAAUGCUAUAAAAGAGCACAGUUAGUUUUGUCCUCAGUCUACAUCCCAAAUCUGUCAUAAACAACUACUGGUGUUUAUUGUGCACAAGAAAUUCAAGGCAGAGACCUAAUUUAUAUGCCCCAUGCUACCCAUCAGGUGAUAUAAAUGAUCAUACCUCAUUGAUUUGAAGGAGGUGUCAGCAACAAUGAGGGGGAGCGUUUGUGUCGGCAAGAUCAUUGUUAUGGAUAUGGCAAAUGGACAGAAAAAGGUUGAAAGGGGCAAGAUGACCAAUAGGUUAAUAGUCAACAAGUAAUUUAUUUUCUCGUUUUAUUUGUCAAUUAUCCGCUAGUCCCAAAUUUAUUGUUGAGCAUUGCUUUAUAACAUACAAUUUUUCCUACAUUCAGUUUAGCCUUGUUAAGUUACCUUUUGUCCUCAUUACUGGCAAGCUAAAUAAACAUCUUUCUUCUUCUGGUGUGACAGGUGAUGAGUUAAUACGCAAUCAAAGCAGAAUUCAGUAUGUUUGAACUACUUUUUUUUUCUUUAGAUUUCCAAUAAAAUAUCAUAUGAGAAAUGCAGUCCUGCUACCUCUCAGCUAUUUUCAUCUGUGUCACAGCAGAAAUCAAUGUUUUUGUACAUUGGCUGUCCACUGAACCCCUUGAGUUUUCUGAUUUGUUUUGGAAUAUAUUGUACUGCUUUCACCACUGUUUGUUGACUUCUGACUCUUCUAAGGGACUGAUUUUACAAGACCCUGCGUGCCACUUCUCACUAUCUCCAAAUGUUACUAUGGCACAAUGACAUGGGCUUGAAUCAGUAAUUUAACUUAAAGCUGCUUUUUCCUGGGCUUCUUUCCAAGACUACCUAUUCUUGUGGGGGUAACCAAAUCAGAGCUACUCUAUGGAUGUAUGUCUGUGUUAAUAUGGAAUUGGUAUGCUUAUAUUAUGUGGUUAGGCACGGUACAAGUGAGUGUGUUACCAUUAUCUCAAAUACAAUGAUCUUUUCAAACAGUAUUUUCAGAGUUUAUUACUAUUAUCUGUUAACUAUUCAACGUAAUUCAAAAACGUCUGAAUGAGCAUAGCUUAGGCACUCAAACUGCAUUAACAGUACCCAACAGUGACUCUGUACGCUAGCCAUAUGGCUCUAAUUUGGGCAUCUUCACAAUUUUGUUUGCACACUAGAGGAAAGGAAAUGGAUACAUCUUGGAUGAUAAUAUAAUCUCACUCUUGACUGUGCCACCAUAUGCCACAAUUAAGGAUAUACACGUCCUAACUAUGUACUUCUACUUUUAAUAUCUGUGGAUUUCUCUUCGGUAUGAGCUCAAAUCCAGCUUCUAAUGUUUCAAUUGGGAAUAAUUGUAACAGUUAGGUAAGGCACUUUAUGGUGCAUUGACAGUGCAGUUCCAAGCCAGACUCUCCAUCAUCAGCUUGCUUUUGCCAACAAGUUCUCUUGAUUUGACUUUGUUUAGUGUCAGGCAUUUAAAAAAGAAAACUAAGCAAGUUUUAGCAUGUGAUAUUACCAGAUGAUAGCUGUUUUUUCUUUUCUUUUGACUUUUCUGGUCAUAUUCAUCAAUUUAUUCUGGCUGCUUUAUUUAGUUUAGAGAAGCAUAAAAGCUCUGGCUCGUAUGUUUUAUUUAAAAUGGGUUUAUUAAAGAUUGAGAUAUCCAGAUCAGUGUUAUGAACCUCAAUUUUUUAAUCUCCAUUUCCCUAUUUUUUUGUCUUUGCAUUCCAUUGUAUUCUUUCUAUCAUUUCAUGUUUCCCUGCUCCUUCACUACUAGACAAGCUGUGCUUCAUGUAUUCCCUGCAGCUCGUGUUCCCUUCAUCCACAUCUAUACUAUUUUCAAUGCUAGUCUUGUUUUCUCACCUCUACAGUUUUAUUUCCUGUCUUCACUGCUGAAAUGUAAACAAAUAACUUCUGAAAAUAAAUACUUUGGACUAAUACAUGUGUUUGCACUUCUAUUGUGAGGUUACAAUACAGUCUGUUUGAUGGGAGAAGUGUACAGAGAGAAGUCAGCUUUACAGAAUUCUUUUUGUUCAACAUGGCUACUAAUUUCUGUUCUAAGGUAACUGGCUACACUAAGCUGCUCAUGCUCUUUAUAAACUAAAUAACAGUGAGAAUUAAGACACAGUUCUCAUUAAAAACUUUAUUAGUUACAGUGUAUGCAUUUAAAUAAACACGUGACUAAGAAUAAUGAUAGCUACUUCUGAAAGGUCUUCCAUGCAUUGCUGAGGUCCUUCAGACAAAGACAAGACUGAUAUCUUUGAAGGACAUGAGUUCUUGUCACUUUUAAUCUCUGUAUUUUAUAGAAGAUAUGUACUGUUUCAACAUACUGUUGUGUGCUAACCAAAGGUAGAUUUUUAGAAUGUUUUUCAAACCAAAGCUUUUGAUAGAAAUCUCCUAAUUAUUUUACACAUUGUUAAUAGAGUACUGUCUUUCUACUUGAUAAGAAAGGGAUGAGUGGCAGUUUAAUAAAUAAAUGCAGUUUUGAUUUUCA
Numida meleagris (helmeted guineafowl) is the source of this 6618-nucleotide long non-coding RNA. RefSeq lists it as uncharacterized. The record is from RefSeq and is a predicted model, not a curated record. NCBI's taxonomy places the organism in Eukaryota, Metazoa, Chordata, Aves, Galliformes, Numididae. The transcript is spliced from 13 exons.